RNAcentral lists this ribosomal RNA (460 nucleotides) under uncultured bacterium. Its description in RNAcentral is "partial 16S ribosomal RNA". It matches the Rfam family "Bacterial small subunit ribosomal RNA", at positions 338 to 795 of the family's 1533-position model. The record is from RNAcentral.
CCUACGGGUGGCAGCAGUGAGGAAUAUUGGUCAAUGGACGCAAGCCUGAACCAGCCAUGCCGCGUGCAGGAAGACGGCCCUACGGGUUGUAAACUGCUUUUAUACGGGGGUAAACGCAGAUACGCGUACCUGUCUGAAUGUAUCUUACGAAUAAGGAUCGGCUAACUCCGUGCCAGCAGCCGCGGUAAUACGGAGGAUUCAAGCGUUAUCCGGAUUUAUUGGGUUUAAAGGGUGCGUAGGUGGGUGGAUAAGUUAGUGGUGAAAGUGUGAGGCUCAACUGCGGAAUUGCAUCUGAUACUGUCAGUCUAGAGAAUAGUUGCGGUAGGCGGAAUGCAUGGUGUAGCGGUGAAAUGCUUAGAGAUCACGCAGAACACCGAUUGCGAAGGCAGCUUACCAAGCUACCUCUGACAUUGAUGCACGAAAGCGUGGGUAGCAAACAGGAUUAGAUACCCGAGUAGUC